This 68-nucleotide microRNA precursor is filed under the name Bombyx mori (domestic silkworm). RNAcentral's name for it is "mir-2774 microRNA precursor family". It matches the Rfam family "mir-2774 microRNA precursor family". Lineage: Eukaryota; Metazoa; Arthropoda; Insecta; Lepidoptera; Bombycidae. The record is from Rfam by way of RNAcentral.
ACAACAUUCGGACCGUCGGUCUACCGAGCAAUAUGACUCGCUCUGUGAAAGAGAUCUUCCGCUGUCGU